AACGAACGCUGGCGGCAUGCCUAACACAUGCAAGUCGAACGAGACCUUCGGGUCUAGUGGCGCACGGGUGCGUAACGCGUGGGAACCUGCCCUUAGGUUCGGAAUAACUCCCCGAAAGGGGUGCUAAUACCGGAUAAUGUCUUCGGACCAAAGAUUUAUCGCCUUUGGAUGGGCCCGCGUUGGAUUAGCUAGUUGGUAGGGUAAAAGCCUACCAAGGCGACGAUCCAUAGCUGGUCUGAGAGGAUGAUCAGCCACACUGGGACUGGGACACGGCCCAGACUCCCAGGGGAGGGAGGAGGGGGGAAAAUUGGAAAAGGGGCAAAAGCCUGAUCCAGCAAGGCCGGGGGGGGGAAGAAGGCCUUGGGGUUGUAAAGCUCUUUUCCCCGGGAGGAAAAGAACAGAACGGGGAAAAAAAGCCCCGGCAAACCCCGU
Molecule: ribosomal RNA, 432 nt
Filed under: uncultured bacterium
Lineage: Bacteria
Description: partial 16S ribosomal RNA
Rfam family: Bacterial small subunit ribosomal RNA
Source: RNAcentral